Molecule: ribosomal RNA, 294 nt
Filed under: uncultured bacterium
Lineage: Bacteria
Description: partial 16S ribosomal RNA
Rfam family: Bacterial small subunit ribosomal RNA
Source: RNAcentral
GACGAACGCUGGCGGCGCGCUUAACACAUGCAAGUCGAACGAGAACCAGACCUUCGGGUCUGGGGACAGUGGCGAACGGGUGAGUAACACGUGAGUAAUCCACCCUCGGCACCGGGGAUAGCCCGGGGAAACCCGGAUUAAUACCGGAUAGCCCGCCGGCCCUUCGGGGCUGGUGGAAAAGGUAGCUUAGGCCUCUGGCCGAGGACGAGCUCGCGGCGGAUUAGCUUGUUGGCGGGGUAAUGGCCCACCAAGGCGACGAUCCGUAGCUGGUCUGAGAGGACGAUCAGCCACACU